UAGAGAAGUAAAAGUCGUAACAAGUUUCCGUAGGUGGACCUGCGGAAGGAUCAUUACAGUAGUCAUCCGGGUUGCCGCAAGGCCUCCCGGGUAACCUACCACCCUUUGUUUAUUACACUUUGUUGCUUUGGCAGGCCUGCCCUCGGGCUGCUGGCUCCGGCCGGCGAGCGCCUGCCAGAGGACCUAAACUCUGUUUGUCUAUAUUGUCUGAGUACUAUAUAAUAGUUAAAACUUUCAACAACGGAUCUCUUGGUUCUGGCAUCGAUGAAGAACGCAGCGAAAUGCGAUAAGUAAUGUGAAUUGCAGAAUUCAGUGAAUCAUCGAAUCUUUGAACGCACAUUGCGCCCCCUGGUAUUCCGGGGGGCAUGCCUGUCCGAGCGUCAUUACAACCCUCAAGCUCAGCUUGGUGUUGGGCCCCGCCGCCCCGGCGGGCCCUAAAGUCAGUGGCGGUGCCGUCCGGCUCCGAGCGUAGUAAUUCUUCUCGCUCUGGAGGUCCGGUCGUGUGCUCGCCAGCAACCCCCAAUUUUUUUCAGGUUGACCUCGGAUCAGGUAGGGAUACCCGCUGAACUUAAGCAUAUAAAUA
This 583-nucleotide ribosomal RNA is filed under the name Geomyces sp. 11MA05. Its description in RNAcentral is "eukaryotic LSU rRNA". The stretch from base 230 to 383 matches the Rfam family "5.8S ribosomal RNA". The record is from RNAcentral. Lineage: Eukaryota; Fungi; Ascomycota; Leotiomycetes; Thelebolales; Pseudeurotiaceae.